This 1131-nucleotide long non-coding RNA is filed under the name Taeniopygia guttata (zebra finch). RNAcentral describes it as "lncRNA (ENSTGUG00000025353.1)". The record is from RNAcentral. Lineage: Eukaryota; Metazoa; Chordata; Aves; Passeriformes; Estrildidae.
AUGGUCACUCAGGGUCACUCAGGGGUCACUCAGGGGUCAGGGGUCACUCGGGGUCAGGGGUCAGGGUACCGGUUCUGCUCCAGCAGCGCCCGCAGCACCCCGGGGUCCCUCAGGGUCAGUCAGGGUCAGUCAGGGGUCACUCAGGGGUCAGUUAGGGGUCAGGGGUCACUCAAGGGUCAGGGGUCACGGUACCGGUUCUGCUCCAGCAGCGCCCGCAGCACCCCGGGGUCCCUCAGGGUCACUCAGGGUCACUCAGGGGUCAGGGGUCACUCAGGUGUCACUCAGGGGUCACUCAGGGGUCAGGGGUCACUCAGGGGUCAGGGGUCACGGUACCGGUUCUGCUCCAGCAGCGCCCGCAGCACCCCGGGGUCCCUCAGGGUGACGUCGCUGUCCAGGCUCAGGUACCCAUCGCAGCGGGGGUCCCGCCGGCACAGCGCCCUGCGCCCCAAAAAUGGGGAUGGGACCCCCAAAAACCCCAGAAAUGGGUCAGGGACCCCCGAAAAUGGGUCAGGGACCCCAAAAACGGGUCAAGGACCCCCAAAAUGGGUCAGGGACCCCAAAAAUGGGUCAGGGACACCAAAAACGGGUCAGGGACCCCCAAAAUGGGUCAGGGGCACCCAAAAAUGGGUCAGGGACCCCCGAAAAUGGGUCAGGGACCCCAAAAAUGGGGAUGGGACCCCCAAAAAUGGGUCAGGGACCCCAAAAAUGGGUCAGGGACUGCAAAAUAUGGGUCAGGGACCCCCAGAAAUGGGUCAGGGGAAUCCAAAAAUGGGUCAGGGACCCCAAAAAUGGGGAUGGGACCCCAAAAAUGGGUCAGGGACCCCCAAAAAUGGGUCAGGGACACCAAAAACGGGUCAGGGACCCCAAAAUGGGUCAGGGGAACACAAAAAUGGGUCAGGGACCCCCAAAAAUGGGUCCGGGACCCCAAAAAUGGGUCAUGGACCCCCGGAAAUGGGUCAGGGACACCCCCAAAACCCCAAAAAUGGGUCAGGGACCCCCCCCAAAAACCCCAAAAAUGGGUCAGGGACCCCCAAAAAUGGGUCAGGGACCCCCCAAAACCCCCAAAAAUGGGUCAGGGACCCCCAAAAAUCAUCACUGACCGUCCCCUUGGCUCCGCCCCCUCCCCUUUAG